CCUACGGGCGGCAGCAGUGGGGAAUAUUGCACAAUGGGCGCAAGCCUGAUGCAGCCAUGCCGCGUGUGUGAAGAAGGCCUUCGGGUUGUAAAGCACUUUCAGCGGGGAGGAAGGCGUUAAGGUUAAUAACCUUGGCGAUUGACGUUACCCGCAGAAGAAGCACCGGCUAACUCCGUGCCAGCAGCCGCGGUAAUACGGAGGGUGCAAGCGUUAAUCGGAAUUACUGGGCGUAAAGCGCACGCAGGCGGUCUGUCAAGUCGGAUGUGAAAUCCCCGGGCUCAACCUGGGAACUGCAUUCGAAACUGGCAGGCUAGAGUCUUGUAGAGGGGGGUAGAAUGCCAGGUGUAGCGGUGAAAUGCGUAGAGAUCUGGAGGAAUACCGGUGGCGAAGGCGGCCCCCUGGACAAAGACUGACGCUCAGGUGCGAAAGCGUGGGGAGCAAACAGGAUUAGAUACCCGUGUAGUC
This 465-nucleotide ribosomal RNA is filed under the name uncultured Klebsiella sp. RNAcentral's name for it is "bacterial SSU rRNA". It matches the Rfam family "Bacterial small subunit ribosomal RNA", at positions 338 to 795 of the family's 1533-position model. Lineage: Bacteria; Pseudomonadati; Pseudomonadota; Gammaproteobacteria; Enterobacterales; Enterobacteriaceae. The record is from RNAcentral.